This 588-nucleotide ribosomal RNA is filed under the name Hanseniaspora uvarum. RNAcentral describes it as "eukaryotic LSU rRNA". It matches the Rfam family "Eukaryotic large subunit ribosomal RNA", at positions 70 to 664 of the family's 3401-position model. The record is from RNAcentral. Lineage: Eukaryota; Fungi; Ascomycota; Saccharomycetes; Saccharomycodales; Saccharomycodaceae.
UGUGAGGGACUUGUCGGCGAGUGAGCGGUAAAAGCUCAAAUUUGAAAUCUGGUACUUUCAGUGCCCGAGUUGUAAUUUGUAGAAUUUGUCUUUGAUUAGGUCCUUGUCUAUGUUCCUUGGAACAGGACGUCAUAGAGGGUGAGAAUCCCGUUUGGCGAGGAUACCUUUUCUCUGUAAGACUUUUUCGAAGAGUCGAGUUGUUUGGGAAUGCAGCUCAAAGUGGGUGGUAAAUUCCAUCUAAAGCUAAAUAUUGGCGAGAGACCGAUAGCGAACAAGUACAGUGAUGGAAAGAUGAAAAGAACUUUGAAAAGAGAGUGAAAAAGUACGUGAAAUUGUUGAAAGGGAAGGGCAUUUGAUCAGACAUGGUGUUUUUUGCAUGCACUUGCCUCUCGUGGGCUUGGGCCUCUCAAAAAUUUCACUGGGCCAACAUCAAUUCUGGCAGCAGGAUAAAUCAUUAAGAAUGUAGCUACUUCGGUAGUGUUAUAGCUUUUUGGAAUACUGUUAGCCGGGAUUGAGGACUGCGCUUCGGCAAGGAUGUUGGCAUAAUGGUUAAAUGCCGCCCGCUGAAAAACCGGGGGCCCCAGGGGG